Molecule: ribosomal RNA, 505 nt
Filed under: uncultured bacterium
Lineage: Bacteria
Description: partial 16S ribosomal RNA
Rfam family: Bacterial small subunit ribosomal RNA
Source: RNAcentral
GACGAACGCUGGCGGCGUGCCUAAUACAUGCAAGUAGAACGCACAGUUUAUACCGUAGCUUGCUGCACCAUAGACUGUGAGUUGCGAACGGGUGAGUAACGCGUAGGUAACCUGCCUGGUAGCGGGGGAUAACUAUUGGAAACGAUAGCUAAUACAGCAUAAUAUUGAUUAUUGCAUGAUAAUUGAUUGAAAGAUGCUAUUGCAUCACUACCAGAUGGACCUGCGUUGUAUUAGCUAGUAGGUGAGGUAACGGCUCACCUAGGGGACGAUACAUAGCCGACCUGAGAGGACGAGCGGCCACCCUGGGACUGAGACACGGCCCAGAGUGCUUCGGGAGGCAGCCGUAGGGAAUCUUCGGGCAUCGGCGAAAGACUGACCGCGAAACGCCGCGGCAGUGAGGAAGGUUUUCGGAUCGGAAAGCUCGGUUGUAAGAGAAGAACGGGUGUGAGAGUGGAAAGUACACACUGUGACGGUAUCUUAACAGAAAGGGCCGGCUAACUACGUG